CGGCGGACGGGUGAGUAACGCGUGGGCAACCUGCCUCAUACGGGGGGAUAACAGUUAGAAAUGACUGCUAAUACCGCAUAAGCGCACGAGGGCCGCAUGGCCCGGUGUGAAAAACUCCGGUGGUAUGAGAUGGACCUGCGUCUGAUUAGCUUGUUGGCGGGGUAACGGCCCACCAAGGCGACGAUCAGUAGCCGACCUGAGAGGGUGGCCGGCCACAUUGGGACUGAGACACGGCCCAAACUUCUACGGAAGGCAGCAG
RNAcentral lists this ribosomal RNA (259 nucleotides) under uncultured bacterium. Its description in RNAcentral is "partial 16S ribosomal RNA". It matches the Rfam family "Bacterial small subunit ribosomal RNA", at positions 96 to 354 of the family's 1533-position model. The record is from RNAcentral.